UGCGGACGCCCCGGGGACAGCCCAGCGCCCAGGGCUGUCCUCCAGGCCACGCCCCUCGGGCCCGCCUCCGCCAGCGCGGGUCCCUUUAAGGGCGGCGAGGCCGCAGCCUCGCUCUGGGGCUUGAGCCUGCGCGCUCGUUUCCCGCGCGCCCCGCGCGCCCCGCGCGCCACGAGCCCCGCGCGCCCCACGCAUCCCGCGCGUCCCCGGCCCCGCGCGCGCCCCCCGCAUCCCGCGACCCCGACGCCCGCUCCCCUGUCCGCAGUGUCUCCUCCCGCGGACAUGGCCCCGGUGUUCGCGGCGAGCGCCCGCCAGGGGCCAUGAUCCGGCUGCGCGGCUGGUGCGCGCGGAGGCCCCGCGGCGCAGCGGUGCCUGCGGGGCCCGCUGGGCUGCGCUGGGCGUCGGGCGGGCCUGCCGGCCGCGCCCUGCGGGUGCUGGUGGACAUGGACGGCGUGCUGGCCGACUUCGAGGGCGGCUUCCUCAGGAAGUUCCGCGCGCGCUUCCCCGACCAGCCCUUCAUCGCGCUGGAGGACCGGCGCGGCUUCUGGGUGUCGGAGCAGUACGACCGCCUGCAGCCCGGGCUGAGCGAGAAGGCGAUCAGCAUCUGGGAGUCGGAGAAUUUCUUCUUUGACCUCGAGCCUCUGCCAGGCGCUGUGGAGGCUGUGAAGCAGAUGGCCAACCUGGAGAGAUGUGCACCAAGGAGUGGAACUGCUGGGUCCUAUGCUGAAUCCAAACUACUUUCAAAGCAGCUGCACCAUUUUACAUUCCCAGUAGCAAUGUCUGAGGGAUCCAACUUCUCCCCAGCACUUGCUAUGGUCUUUUUUUUUUUUUUGCCUUUUUUUUGCGGUACGCGGGCCUCUCACUGUUGUGGCCUCUCCCGCUGCGGAGCACAGGCUCCGGACGCGCAGGCUCAGCGGCCAUGGCUCACGGGCCCAGCCGCUCCGCGGCACGUGGGAUCCUCCCGGACCGGGGCAUGAACCCGCGUCCCCUGCAUCGGCAGGCGGACUCUCCACCACUGCGCCACCAGGGAAGCCCGCUAUGGUCUUUUUGAUUCCAGCCAUUCUAGUGGGUGUGAAGUGAUAUCUCAUUGUGGUUUUAAUUUGCAUUUCUCUGAAGACUAAUGAUGUUAAGCAUCUUUUGGUGUGCAUAUUAGCUAUUUGUAUAUCUUUUUUGGAUAAAUGGUUAUUCAAAUCCUUUGCUAAUUUUUUUUUCAAUUUAUUUGUCUUUUUUUGUUAUUGUUAACUCAUAAGACUGCUUUAUAUGUCCUGGAUAACAAGUCCCUUGGGAGAUAUAUGACUUGCAGAUAUAUUCUCUCAUUCUGUGGAUUGUUGCUUUACUUUCUGGGUGGGGUCCUUUGAAACCCGAAGUUUUUAUUUUGAUAUAAUUCCAUUUAUUUAUUUUUUUCUUUUGUCGUUUGUGUUUUUGGUGCCGUAUGUAAGGAUCCUUUGCCUAAUCCAAGGUCACAAAGAUUUGCUCCUGUGUUUUCUUCUAAGAGUUUUAUAGUUUAAGCUCUUAUAUUUAGGUCUUUGAUCCAUUUUAAUUUUUGCAUAUGGUGUGAGGAAGGGGGUCCCACUUCCUUCUUUGUCGUGUGGAAAAUCCAGUUGUCCCAGAACCAUUUGUUGAAAAGACUCUUCUUUCCUCUGUUGAAUGGUCUUGGCUUCCUUGUUAAAAGUUAGGCCACAGAUGUUAGGAUUUACUACUCUGGUCUAUGAUUUGAACCUGAUUUACACCAGAAUCAUGUACUGUAACUUCUUCCACCUGUAGCAAGAGCCUGGCGAGGCAAAGAAUGUGUAGUUUUGCACCAAAGCUUUUAAAAGCUCUGUUCUUGUCUGGAUCCUCACUUCCUGGACCACGUUCACCAACUGUAUUCUGGGGAGCUGGAUUGCACGGUGGUCAAGUCUCAGUGUGAACUGGAGUUAGACCGCUUCUCCAGAAUCGACCCCUCAGCAAGUCUCUAAACUUUCAGUUUCUUCAUCCGUAAAAUGUGUGCAGUGUAAAUGUUAGCUGCCACUGCUACUAUUCUGCAGGACUUAAUAGGUGUGCAACAGAAGGGUGUUCUUUUUUUUUUAAUAUGUAUUUGUUUAUUAUUUAUUUAUUUUGGCUGCACCGGGUCUUAGUUGCGGCAUGUGGGAUCUUAGUUCCCUGACCAGGGAUCGAACCCGGGCCCCCUGCAUUGGGAGUGUGGAGUCUUAACCACUGGACCACCAGGGAAGUCCCAAGAAGAGUGUUCUUUGACCAAAGCAGCAUGGGAAACAUCGAUGAGCGGAGUCUUUCCUGUGGGACUUCUCAGAGCCUUUAGUUUGUGGACGUGCAUUGAGAUUCUUCAGGGGGCGGCAGAGGAGGAAGCUUUCUUUAUUUUUAAAUUUAUUUUUAUUUUUGGCUGCAUUGGGUCUUUGUUGCUGUGCGCGGGCUUUCUCUAGUUGCGGCGAGCGGGGGCUGCUCUUUGUUGCGGUGCGCGGGCUUCUCACUGAGGCAGCUUUCAGGGAGCACGGGCUCUAGGCGCGUGGGCUUCAGUAGUUGUGGCGCAUGGGCUCAGUAGUUGUGGCUCACGGACUUAGUUGCUCCGUGGCAUGUGGGAUCUUCCCAGAUCAGGGCUCGAACCUGUGUCCCCGGCGUUGGCAGGUGGAUUCCUAACCACUGCACCACCAGGGAAGCCCCAAGGAGGCAGCUUUCUUCUCGUGGGUUCUGGUCCGGAGCACUUUUUCACAGCUGCCCUAUUAACUCAUUCGCAGAAAUUCCAGUCUGAGAUGUCCAGGUUGAGACCACACCACUGGUCCUUUACUUCCACUUUGGCGCUUAGCGGGUGGGCGAUUCUGACGGUCAGUCCAUGCCCAGAGUUUGGGCUGAGAGAGGGGUCUAGCGGAUGGCUAAUCAAGUGGAUGGCUCUGUAUCUUGUGCUUUGUGCAGGAAAUGAGCAAGGUGACGUGUUAGAGGUCACCGGGGAGGGGCUACUUCAGGUGCAGGUGCUUCUCCAAGGGGGUGAUAUCUGACGUCAGACCUGUAGGAUCGGAAUGAGUAGUGAAGGGCGGCGGGGAGCAAGGGUACAGGCCCUGGGAGGGGAAGGGGUUUGCUGACUUGGGUAGCAAACGAGACCAGGAGGGUGAGGUUUCAGUGAGUGUGGGGCAGGUGGGAUGUGGAGGAAGAGGUUGAAGAGAGAAGGGUGUCAUCUAACUCAGGUUUUAAAAACAUGGGCUCGGGCGCUGAGUUCGGCGUUUCCUUGGCAUUUCUCCAAAGAAGAGCUACAGAUGGCGAUUAAGGGCGUGAAAGUUUGCCUCAACAUCGUUCGUCCUUAGGGAAAUAAGGCAGAACCACAGUAAAAAGCCGCUCUGCACCACUAGAACGACUGUCGUAAAAAAGAUGGACGAUCGUGGGUGUAGCCAAGGAUGGAGAGCUGGGAAUCCUUAUCGCUGGUGGUGGGAUUGUAACCGGCGCAGCUGCCUUGGAAACCGCAUCCUCAGGAUGUUGGAUACAGAGCCGCCUGUAACCCAGCAGUCACACCCGAGAGAAACGGAGACACAGGUCCACACGGACCCUGCACACGGGCGUCCCCAGCGCCACAGUUCCCGGGUGGAAGCGGCCCCACUGUCCAUCCGUGGUAGCAUGUAAACUGAACGUGGAGCAUCUAUACGAGGGAUGUUACUGGGCAGUAAAAAGGCCCACAGUUCCAGUGCCCUUGAAAACAUGACCCUGAAUGAAAGAAGCCAGUCGCAAGAGACCAUGUACCGUGGGGUUCUGUUAACAUGAGAUGUCCAGAACAGGCAAAUCCACGGAGAUGGGAAGCAGGCGGAGACCCAGGGUGCCCGGGACGCCACGCCCUCUGGCCGGGGCCUCAGUCUGACGCAGGCCUCUCGGGACUGCUCUCCAGGGAUCCCAUCCCCCGUGGGCUUGGCCCGAUGAGACAGUAGGUGCCGCUCCGGGGGCAGGCGCCAGCUCGAUGAGGACAGGGGACCAGCCGGUACUGUUGGCGGGCGCCAGGCCCGGGGCCGCGGGGGGAGCUGGCGCAGCACAGACCCCGAGGGUCCACCAGGGUCCACAGGAGUGCGUGAAGCCUGAGCCGCCCGGCCGCACCCUUGACCUAGAGACUCCGGCUCGGCUUGUAGGUUUCCUGCCUCUGCGCCGUGUGAGGCCCUGAUCACGGAUGUCUUCAUCUGCACCAGCCCCACCAAGAUGUACAAGUACUGUCCCUUCGAGAAGUACGCCUGGGUGGAGAAGCACUUCGGCCCUGACUUUCUAGAGCAGAUCGUGCUGACCAGAGACAAGACCG
Molecule: RNA transcript, 4261 nt
Organism: Orcinus orca (killer whale)
Lineage: Eukaryota; Metazoa; Chordata; Mammalia; Artiodactyla; Delphinidae
Gene: NT5M
Gene name: 5',3'-nucleotidase, mitochondrial
Exons: 5
Source: RefSeq, a predicted model, not a curated record